AGUGAACGCUGGCGGUAGGCCUAACACAUGCAAGUCGAACGGCAGCACAGUAAGAGCUUGCUCUUACGGGUGGCGAGUGGCGGACGGGUGAGGAAUACAUCGGAAUCUACUUUUUCGUGGGGGAUAACGUAGGGAAACUUACGCUAAUACCGCAUACGACCUACGGGUGAAAGCAGGGGAUCUUCGGACCUUGCGCGAUUGAAUGAGCCGAUGUCGGAUUAGCUAGUUGGCGGGGUAAAGGCCAACCAAGGCGACGAUCCGUAGCUGGUCUGAGAGGAUGAUCAGCCACACUGGAACUGAGACACGGUCCAGACUCCUACGGGAGGCAGCAGUGGGGAAUAUUGGACAAUGGGCGCAAGCCUGAUCCAGCCAUACCGCGUGGGUGAAGAAGGCCUUCGGGUUGUAAAGCCCUUUUGUUGGGAAAGAAAAGCAGCAGGUUAAUACCCCGCUGUUCUGACGGUACCCAAAGAAUAAGCACCGGCUAACUUCGUGC
This 493-nucleotide ribosomal RNA is filed under the name uncultured bacterium. RNAcentral describes it as "partial 16S ribosomal RNA". It matches the Rfam family "Bacterial small subunit ribosomal RNA", at positions 29 to 508 of the family's 1533-position model. The record is from RNAcentral.